CCGUACUUCAUGGGCUUCAUUUCUUAGAAAAAUGCCUCGUGCUACAGUUGCCUCCAUUAUUUGCCUUUCCCCAGCAUCAUACCUUUUAGUUAGGUGAACAAUGACUCUUCUUUAUUGUACCCAAAAAAAAAGGACUCUUGUUGCCUUUUGUUUAAUCCACCAAAGAUCCACAUUAAACUUUUUUAAUCCACAGGAGGCUGUCACAUAUUCCAUUCGUGAAAC
This 222-nucleotide long non-coding RNA is filed under the name Elaeis guineensis (African oil palm). RNAcentral describes it as "long non-coding RNA (EGUI_LNC013038)". The record is from RNAcentral. Lineage: Eukaryota; Viridiplantae; Streptophyta; Magnoliopsida; Arecales; Arecaceae.